Molecule: long non-coding RNA, 1056 nt
Organism: Macadamia integrifolia
Lineage: Eukaryota; Viridiplantae; Streptophyta; Magnoliopsida; Proteales; Proteaceae
Exons: 4
Source: RefSeq, a predicted model, not a curated record
UCUCUCACAUCCGGAAAUAAGGUACCUUUGCGUAUUAUUUAUAAUCUAUUUUGGAAAUACUCUCUCUCACAUCUCUUUAUAACUUGCCAUUUUGCAUUGCAGAGAAAGGAAAAUCCUCUUCAUCUUUUUUUGUUUGAUGUGACCGGAUCAUCCCCAAGACUCUCAUGUCCAAAGAGGUCUGUGACUUUAUCUGGGUUUUGUCUUCUGGAUAUGUUGCAGUUGUUGUGUUGUAAUGAUGCAAUGGUGCAUGAUGUUAUUGAAAUGUUGGGUUUUUGUUUAUCAGAUAACAGAAGAAACUGUGGAGGAAGUGAAACCUGUAGCCGACAUGCACCAAAGGAAAGCUCAGUGCAAUGAAGACAGCAAGAAGUGGAUACUUUGUUUUAUUUAGAUUGGCUCCCAUUUAGGUCCCUUUUCCCCUCUGAGGCAUGUGAAGUUAAUUCAUGAUUUAUUCUCUCGAAUAUGGUCUUGUGCAUAUUGUUUUGGAGAGGAAUAAAAGUGUCUAUCAAGAUUAUUCAAACAAGUACUAAGACAAUGAUCACUGUGGAUUGGUUAAAGUAUGCAAGUCAUGUUUCUCUUAGAAUAAUCUUAUAUGACUAGCUGUCAAUUUUUGAAGACUUUUCUGAAAAAGCUAUUACAGAACAAUAACAUAUCAAGACCAAUUCCAGGAGAGCUAGGGAGGCUCUUUCAACUUCAGACACUUGAUCUUUCAAAUAAUUUUUUCACUGGUAAAAUUCCAUCUUCAUUGAGCCAGAUGCAAAAGCUCCAAUACCUUUAAGUAGGAAAAUUGGUGAGCUGAAACACUACCAUUGUCCCUUCUGUUUCUCUUUUUCCUAAUUUUGAACUUUCUUAGUUUCUGUCUCAUUAGGAAUUUGCAUUUUGAGAUUUUUUUGUGUGAAUCUAAUCAUGAGCUUUGAAUUGGAUCGAGAGGAUUAACAAUAACAAUUUUUAUGGAGAAUUUCCUGUCUUUGGCUAACACGACCCAACUUGCCUUUCUAUAAUCUCUUGACUUAUUGCAUCUUCAACCCUCUUUCCCUCUCUAAUUGAAUUUGUACCUUU